UUUUGGAAGCCUCUUUCUCUGCCAGUACACCUGGAAUCAAACAUCAGGUUCUUGCAGCCAGAAGUGGAGGAUAGGAAGUCUUUGUCCUUCCUGCCUUCUUGUUUCACCUUUUUCUUCUUCUUUAACAGCCUUCUUGUAGAAAAGGUGUUGGGUGCCGAGAAGCUGAAACAAACUUGUUUCAGCCUGUACAAUGUGGCAGAGCCCUGAAAUAACACUGAACCCAGGUCAUCCCUUUUCCCAUUACAGAAUCAGAAGACAGCUGCAAGCCUUGUUGACAGGCACUCCUUUAGAUUUUCUUUAUUGGGGAACAUUGGGUGCCAUCACAGAAGCCAAGAGACCUUGAACUUUAUUGCAUAGAGGGUUGCAAGGAUACAUCUCCAGGGGAACCAAACAACUGUGGUACUGCCAGGAACUCCU
Molecule: long non-coding RNA, 417 nt
Organism: Anolis sagrei ordinatus
Lineage: Eukaryota; Metazoa; Chordata; Lepidosauria; Squamata; Anolidae
Source: RefSeq, a predicted model, not a curated record